Molecule: long non-coding RNA, 635 nt
Filed under: Vigna radiata
Lineage: Eukaryota; Viridiplantae; Streptophyta; Magnoliopsida; Fabales; Fabaceae
Description: long non-coding RNA (VRAD_LNC017095)
Source: RNAcentral
CUUGCUCGAGGAAAGUUCAAGAUUAAUUCCCGAAAAUCUGAAUUCGAGUCCACAAACUCUUUCUCCCCAGCCUCCAAGAAAACUUGCUUCAAUUGCUUUUUAGCUUCCUAAUAAAAAAUGGCGAAUACUUAAGUAGAAAUAUAUGACAAAUCUUAAACAUCAAAGAAAGCGCAGAACAUUAAAAAAAAUCUACGAAGUAAGCACAUCGCAAACAUCAAAGAACACGAUGGUCACGACAUUGAUAAGAGAAUGCACGAGGAGUUAAUUACCUUCAAAUCAUGCUUCCUAACAUCGGAAGCUUAAGAGCCAAAGCACCCAAUCCAUGAGCAAUUGCCAAGGCAGCCAAGCCAGUCGAGGUCACCCUUUUGCACCAAUUUUUUCCAGCAUAGGAAGCACACUACCGGAUAAAGGAAAAAAACUCACAGGUGAGCACAAUGUUAACAAGGAUAAAUUUAGGGAUUUAGGGGAUAAAUAAAGAAGAGAGCUUGCGGAUAAACCAAGAGGACUACAAAACUAGGGUUUGUUGACGGAGAACACGAGUACCACACUGGGACAAAGGGGCCAAUACUGGAAGACCACGAUUGGAGGCAGGGACUCCUAGGGUUUCAGCCACGAAGGUGACGGUUCGACGAACG